Molecule: non-coding RNA, 181 nt
Filed under: Candidatus Scatomonas merdigallinarum
Lineage: Bacteria; Bacillati; Bacillota; Clostridia; Lachnospirales; Lachnospiraceae
Description: 6S RNA
Rfam family: 6S / SsrS RNA
About the family: E. coli 6S RNA was the first non coding RNA to be sequenced, but its function was unknown until recently. It consists of 184 nucleotides that fold into an extended hairpin structure with a large single-stranded internal bulge.
Source: RNAcentral
AUUUACCUGGAGUGUCCGAGGCCCUGCCAAUUUGAACCUACAUUUUCUUUAAACAGGGAUUCCUAUAUCGGCGUGUGGAUGCCAGGCCCCCAUUGCGCAGGGGAAGGCAGAAGCGGCGCCUGCGGUUGCCCACCUAGCUUUGCUAGGAGUCAAACGGCAGGAACGGCAUGCCGGGGUUCAC